UGUGCAAACCUACGCAAAGCUGA
Molecule: microRNA, 23 nt
Filed under: Petromyzon marinus (sea lamprey)
Lineage: Eukaryota; Metazoa; Chordata; Hyperoartia; Petromyzontiformes; Petromyzontidae
Description: pma-miR-19a
Gene: pma-miR-19a
Source: miRBase by way of RNAcentral